CCUAAUUGAAAAUUCUUCGGAAAAUGGACAUAGAUACAAGCUAGCGGCGGAUGGGGUGGAGUAAACGCGUGGGUAACCUGCCCUUAAAGUCUGGGAUACCAUUUGGAAACAGAUGCUAAUACCGGAUAAAAGCUACUUUCGCAUGAAAGAAGUUUAAAAGGCGGCGUAAGCUGUCGCUAAAAGGGGAUGGACCUGCGAUGCAUUAGCUAGUUGGUAAGGUAACGGCUUACCAAGGCGAUGAUGCAUAGCCCGAGUUGAGAGACUGAUCGGCCACAUUGGGACUGAGACACGGCCCAAACUCCUACGGGAGGCAGCAGUAGGGAAUCUUCCACAAUGGACGCAAGUCUGAUGGAGCAACGCCGCGUGAGUGAAGAAGGUUUUCGGAUCGUAAAGCUCUGUUGUUGGUGAAGAAGGAUAGAGGUAGUAACUGGGCCUUUAUUUGACGGUAAUCAACCAGAAAGUCACGGCUAACUACGUGCCAGCAGCCGCGGUAAU
Molecule: ribosomal RNA, 495 nt
Filed under: uncultured Lactobacillus sp.
Lineage: Bacteria; Bacillati; Bacillota; Bacilli; Lactobacillales; Lactobacillaceae
Description: bacterial SSU rRNA
Rfam family: Bacterial small subunit ribosomal RNA
Source: RNAcentral